UGGGGAAUAUUGGACAAUGGGCGCAAGCCUGAUCCAGCCAUGCCGCGUGAGUGAUGAAGGCCCUAGGGUUGUAAAUCUCUUUCACCGGUGAAGAUAAUGACGGUAACCGGAGAAGAAGCCCCGGCUAACUUCGUUCCAGCAGCGGCGGUAAUACGAAGGGGGCUCGCGUUGUUCGGAUUUACUGGGCGUAAAGCGCACGUAGGCGGACUUUUAAGUCAGGGGUGAAAUCCCGGGGCUCAACCCCGGAACUGCCUUUGAUGAUGGGAGUCUUGAGUAUGGUAGAGGUGAGUGGAGUUCCGGGUGUAGAGGUGAAAUUCGUAGAUAUUCGGAGGAACACCAGUGGCGAAGGCGGCUCACUGGACCAUUACUGACACUGAGGUGCGAAAGCGUGGGGAGCAAACAGG
This 404-nucleotide ribosomal RNA is filed under the name Actinomycetes bacterium. RNAcentral describes it as "Actinobacteria bacterium partial 16S ribosomal RNA". It matches the Rfam family "Bacterial small subunit ribosomal RNA", at positions 355 to 776 of the family's 1533-position model. Lineage: Bacteria; Bacillati; Actinomycetota; Actinomycetes. The record is from RNAcentral.